AAAGGAAUUAGGUCAAAAUGAGAUUACCACGCUUCCCCUUUCCUUCUUCGUGUGCGACGGAGAACGGUGACGACGUCCUCCUCCGAUCUCGUUCUGCCUCACCGCUCUCUCAUAUCUCCGAUUCAAUCUCCGAUCGGUUCUCUCUCCUUCUUCUCCGAUCAAAUUCCCGCCUCGUCUCUCGUCUCAACCUCUCUCGAAUCUCCGCUCUUAGACUCUCGAUUUUGUCUUGAGCUUCAUUCAGAUUCCUCUCUGUUGAUGGUGAUGUUGCAAUUGUAGUUGAUUAUGCAGUGGUUGUUGAAGUGACACGAAUUGGAGGUCGUUGCGUUGUGGAUGCCGUAGGUGAUGAGGUUAUUGAAGGUCGAAUCCGUUGAAGGUUUAACGACGAGUACGUGCUUGAAAUUGUUUGUGGUUCAAUGGAGAAGAUGGCAUGAUUAUGCAAAAUCGAUGAACAAUGAUUAUGGUGAAGAUCGAAGAGUUGAAUGGAACUGAUGAAGAACGAAUCUAGUGAAUCCAAUCAGAGAGAGUUUGUUGCCUUCUAUUAAAGGUGAAUUACUCUCCUUCUUCUCUUACACUUUUCUGUUACAUUCCCCUCCAAUUCUGUUUCAACUUUUGGUUAUGUGAUUGCAGUGACAUUGUAGAAUCGGGCGUGGAGAUUUGACGCAGAUGUGUUGUUAUUGGAGUCGAUUCUGAGCGUGAAUCCGUAGUUUUGUGGUUCGAUUUCUUCUUCUUCCGAUUCAAUUUUCACUUCUGUCUGUUUGUUGUGGUAACGAUGCGUGAAGAUAAUGAUUCACGGUGAUGUUGAAGUGGUUCUUCUGCCGAUUGUCAAGAGUGCAGGGAGAGAAUCCUUGGUGGAGAGUGAAGAGAAAUCGAAAGAGAAGCAGUUUGAGAUUGAAGGUUGAGAUUGAGCUUGAAGAUGAUGAAUUGGUCAGGGAAAGUUUGUUACCGCUUUUUGUGAGUUUCCUGGAGAAUUCGUGAAGAGAAUUGAUGGUGAAUCGAAAAGUUUGUUACGUGUUGAGAUUGAAGUGAGGUGAUCAAAAUUGAGAGGUUCUUGAAGUUUGUUGAAGCUUUUGUGAAUGAAGAUGGAGGGAGUCAAAAGUUUGUUACGAUUCGGUUCCAGACUCCGUUUAUUUGUUCUUGCAAGGGGCGGUUUUAUGGCAGGGUGCUGAACCGUUUUUUCUCUUUGUUUGUGCAGGUGGAUGCUAUUUUGGCAAACUUGUUCAAUUACUUUGUAGGUGUGACUUGAAGGCGGAAGUUGCAAGCUGCUGGUUUAUUUUGUGGACGGUUCUGUUGAAGUGUGGUGAAAUAGGAUAAGAACAAUGGACUAGGAAUAUUCUUGUAUACCUUUUGUAACUUUUGUUUUUUCUAAUGGAUAUGUAUUGUGAUUGUGAUGGAUGAUUGUAAUGGAUGUUUGUAUGGACAUUUGAAUGGGGGUAAUGAACAUUUGAAUUUUUAUCUUGUAUUGAAC
Long non-coding RNA from Vicia villosa (hairy vetch), 1465 nucleotides. RefSeq lists it as uncharacterized. Lineage: Eukaryota; Viridiplantae; Streptophyta; Magnoliopsida; Fabales; Fabaceae. The transcript is spliced from 4 exons. The record is from RefSeq and is a predicted model, not a curated record.